RNAcentral lists this ribosomal RNA (421 nucleotides) under uncultured bacterium. Its description in RNAcentral is "bacterial SSU rRNA". It matches the Rfam family "Bacterial small subunit ribosomal RNA", at positions 417 to 828 of the family's 1533-position model. The record is from RNAcentral.
UUCGGUGUGUAAAACCCUUUUCUUUGUGAGCAAUGCCACUAGGGUUAAGAGCUAUAGUGGAGAGAUAUUAGCAGAGGAAUAAGCCACGGCUAACUCCGUGCCAGCAGCCGCGGUAACACGGGGGUGGCGAGCGUUGUCCGGAAUCACUAGGCGUAAAGGGCAAGUAGGCGGAAUAUCUAGUCAUUUGUUAAAGGCAUUGGCUCAACCAAUGUACGGCAUAUGAUCCUGGUAUUCUAGAAUUUGGUAUGGGAAGACGGAAUUCCUGGUGUAGCGGUGGAAUGCGCAGCUAUCAGGAAGAACACCGGAGGCGAAGGCGGUCUUCUGGGCCAAAAUUGACGCUGAAUUGCGAAGGUGUGGGUAUCAAACAGGAUUAGAUCCCCUGGUAGUCCACACAGUAAACGAUGUGCACUAGAUGUUGGGG